Molecule: transfer RNA, 69 nt
Filed under: Melanostigma atlanticum
Lineage: Eukaryota; Metazoa; Chordata; Actinopteri; Perciformes; Zoarcidae
Description: tRNA-Arg
Rfam family: tRNA
About the family: Transfer RNA (tRNA) molecules are approximately 80 nucleotides in length.
Source: RNAcentral
AGGCAAUUAGUUUAAGAAGAACCUUUGAUUUCGGCUCAAAAGCUUGUGGUUAAAGUCCACAAUUGCCUA